AUCAUUAGUUUAACAUUACAACCAGGCGAUAAAAAAUAAUUUCAUGGAAAACAUUCUUUUUGAAAAAUGUUUUUCAUAUGUAAGCUAUUUUUUGUGAAAUAAAUGGAGCCUAAGUUAGAUGAUUUUUCUAUAGAAGGAAUAGAUGGAUUCACUUUUAGGGUUAUUAGUGGGAAUUAAUGGUUAAAGGAUAAAAAGAUCAUGCUGUCUCAGAUUUGUAACAUCUUGAUGGAGGCAUAAAUUUAUAGUUCCAUAUAAAUGACAAAGAAAUCAGGUUUCAGUUGUUAAUGUGGGGAUGAACAAUUAUAAUUGCGGAACACAUUUCUUCUGGAUUUUGAGAUUUGGGAUUCUGGGUCCGGUAGUAUUGAUUUUGGCCUAAAGGGUCAAAGAAGAUAAACAAUUUGAAUUACUUAAGCAUCUUGUUUUAGGUGUCAUGGGCAUCACUGCCCAUAUGGUCAGGGUAGCAUCAUUCUAGCUCAAUUUACAAAUAGAGUUACAGCGCAUCAUGCAGGAUAUUGCAAGAGUA
This 523-nucleotide unclassified non-coding RNA is filed under the name Hevea brasiliensis (rubber tree). The record is from RNAcentral. Lineage: Eukaryota; Viridiplantae; Streptophyta; Magnoliopsida; Malpighiales; Euphorbiaceae.